Molecule: ribosomal RNA, 839 nt
Filed under: uncultured bacterium
Lineage: Bacteria
Description: bacterial SSU rRNA
Rfam family: Bacterial small subunit ribosomal RNA
Source: RNAcentral
GUCGAGGGGCAGCGGAGGCGAGUGCUUGCACUUGCCAGACGGCGACCGGCGCACGGGUGAGUAACACGUAUGCGACCUGCCCGUAGCAGGGGGAUAAGCGGAAGAAAUUCCGUCUAAUACCGCGUAAUAUCUUUCGGGGGCAUCCCUGAGGGAUUAAAGGAAGCGAUUCCGGCUACGGAUGGGCAUGCGGCGCAUUAGCUAGUCGGCGGGGUAACGGCCCACCGAGGCGACGAUGCGUAGGGGUUCUGAGAGGAAGGUCCCCCACACUGGUACUGAGACACGGACCAGACUCCUACGGGAGGCAGCAGUGAGGAAUAUUGGUCAAUGGGCGAGAGCCUGAACCAGCCAAGUCGCGUGAGGGAAGACGGUCCUAUGGAUUGUAAACCUCUUUUGUCGGGGAGCAAAAAGGCCUCGUGAGGCCACAAGCGAGAGUACCCGAAGAAAAAGCAUCGGCUAACUCCGUGCCAGCAGCCGCGGUAAUACGGAGGAUGCGAGCGUUAUCCGGAUUUAUUGGGUUUAAAGGGUGCGUAGGCGGACUGGAAAGUCAGCGGUAAAAUCGAGAGGCUCAACCUCUUUCCGCCGUUGAAACUGUCGGUCUUGAGUGGGCGAGAAGUAUGCGGAAUGCGUGGUGUAGCGGUGAAAUGCAUAGAUAUCACGCAGAACUCCGAUUGCGAAGGCAGCAUACCGGCGCUCAACUGACGCUCAUGCACGAAAGCGUGGGUAUCGAACAGGAUUAGAUACCCUGGUAGUCCACGCAGUAAACGAUGAAUACUAACUGUCCGGGCAGAAUGAUGCCUGGGUGGUACAGCGAAAGCGUUAAGUAUUCCACCUGGGGAGUA